Molecule: ribosomal RNA, 425 nt
Filed under: uncultured bacterium
Lineage: Bacteria
Description: bacterial SSU rRNA
Rfam family: Bacterial small subunit ribosomal RNA
Source: RNAcentral
GAAUCUUUCGCAAUGGGCGCAAGCCUGACGAAGCGACGCCGUGUGAGCGAAGAAGGCCUUCGGGUUGUAAAGCUCUUUCGCUAGGGAACAAGAGAGGUUGGAUAAUACCCAGCCAAUUUGAUGGUACUUGGUAAAGAAGCACCGGCUAACUCCGUGCCAGCAGCUGCGGUAAUACGGAGGGUGCAAGCAUUGAUCGGAAUUACUGGGCGUAAAGGGCGCGUAGGCUGUUAAGUAAGUCAGAUGUGAAAUUCCGGGGCUCAACCCCGGAGCUGCAUUUGAAACUGUUUAGCUAGAGUGUAGUUAGGGUAAACGGAAUUCCACGUGUAGCGGUGAAAUGCGUAGAUAUGUGGAAGAACACCGGUGGUGAAGACGGUUUACUGGGCUAUAACUGACGCUGAGGCGCGAAAGCAUGGGGAGCGAACAGG